This 77-nucleotide transfer RNA is filed under the name Candidatus Omnitrophota bacterium. Its description in RNAcentral is "tRNA-Arg". It matches the Rfam family "tRNA". From Rfam's summary of the family: Transfer RNA (tRNA) molecules are approximately 80 nucleotides in length. Their secondary structure includes four short double-helical elements and three loops (D, anti-codon, and T loops). The record is from RNAcentral. Lineage: Bacteria; Pseudomonadati; Candidatus Omnitrophota.
GCGCCCGUAGAUCAAUUGGAUAGAUCGUUUGGCUACGGACCAGAAGGUUGCAGGUUCGACUCCUGCCGGGCGCACCA